RNAcentral lists this ribosomal RNA (484 nucleotides) under uncultured bacterium. RNAcentral describes it as "partial 16S ribosomal RNA". It matches the Rfam family "Bacterial small subunit ribosomal RNA", at positions 30 to 507 of the family's 1533-position model. The record is from RNAcentral.
AUUGAACGCUGGCGGCAGGCCUAACACAUGCCAGUCGAGCGGAUGAAGGGUGCUUGCUCCUGGAUACAGCGGCGGACGGGUGAGUAAUGCCUAGGAAUCUCCCUGGUAGUGGGGGAUAACGUCCGAAAACGGGCGCUAAUACCGCAUACGACCUGAGGGAGAAAGAGGGGGAUCUUCGGACCUAUCGCUAUCAGAUGAGCCUAGGUCGGAUUAGAUAGUUGGUGGGGUAAAGGCCUACCAAGACGACGAUCCGUAACUGGCCUGAGAGGAUGAUCAGUCACACUGGAACUGAGACGCGGUACAGACUCCUACGGGAGGCAGCAGAGGGGAAUGUUGGACUAGGGGCGGAAGCCUGGUCCAGCCAUGCCGCGUGGGUUAAGAAGAUCUUCGGAUUGUAAAGCUCUUUUGGUUGGAAGGAAGGGCAGUAAGUUAAUACCGUGCUGUUUUGACGUUACCGUAAGAAUAAGCACCGGCUAACUUCGUG